Long non-coding RNA from Scylla paramamosain (green mud crab), 1211 nucleotides. RefSeq lists it as uncharacterized. The record is from RefSeq and is a predicted model, not a curated record. NCBI's taxonomy places the organism in Eukaryota, Metazoa, Arthropoda, Malacostraca, Decapoda, Portunidae. The transcript is spliced from 3 exons.
ACUUUAUCGAAUAUACUUACUGCUUCUUUCUUAUCGUAUACCUAUGUGUAACUACUGUAAGGUCGUGAUGUAUGUAUGGUUGUCUGGAUGAGGCUUGUAUGGCCCAGAAUUCACCGUUGACGUGUGCUUAUCAUAUGCAGCAUGUAUUCAUGACUGCAACUUUCAUAUUAUUUUUAUAUGACAGCAGCAGCAGCAGCAGCAACAACAACAACAACAACAACAACAACAACAAUAAUAAUAAUAAUAAUAAUAAUAAUAAUAAUAAUAACGAUGAUAAAGAUAAUUAGUGUUUUCGCCGGGUACCAUAAACAAAUGGAGAGAGAAAAAAGUGAUCAUGCAAAAACAAACCAUAAAAAUAUUCGUGUGUUCUUAAUAUUUUCAUCUGCAAGGAAACAUCUUUAAUUUGAUUUGAUAAAUUACGACCUAUAACGAUGGAUUUCCUAUGAAUGAAGAAGUGUUAAUUAAAUCCAUCAUCCACCUGCGCGGUGCAGUGUGGGCUUGCGUUGUGUUGUGGGGAACUGUGACGGGUGAAGAGGGAUUUUUAUUGGUUAUAAUCUUAUUUUUGAGGUGUUAACGAGGUGCUGGCAACCUGUGUUAAUGUAGCAAUGGCCAGCAAUGCCGCAGUUUCGUUGUAUCAUUGGGUGUGGAAGUACGAUAGACAAACGCCUAACUUUAGCCUUCUCUCGCCUGCCGGACAUUGUCAAGACAAGGUUGGGAGGUGGUUGAUUACCCAAAGAUAUCUGUGAGUGCUAGCAACCCAUGUGAGUGCAACAGUAGCCAUGAAUGCCGCAGUUUCUUAAUGUCACUGAAUGUGGAAAGAAGGCAAACAUGUAAGCUUAGACUCUUGUCGCCUGUCAGACAUACCAAGGCAAGGCAGGGAGGUGGUUGAUGACCCAAAGAAGUCUGUAAUUAUCCAGGAUCUACAAAAACCCUGGGAAGUCUGUGGGAUGUGUUUCGUAUAAAGGUGGCGCCCGGGCACUGAAGAACAACCAACGAAAACCAGGGAAGCUGCAAGAUUCCAGAAGGCCUCACGUGGCAAUCCCUGUCUGGCAGAGGGAAUCUACGGCUACAGCUCGAGUAAGGGAUCGUGGGCACUCACUGGUAACUGGACUUGCUACACCUGAAGCUCACCUCUAAACCCGUAGCUACAGGUGCAAAUGGGGCCGUACACUCCAGCCAGACACGUCCCUCCGUUGCGACAAGGAUUAGAG